GUCGAACGAUGAACCUCACUUGUGGGGGGGAUUAGUGGCGAACGGGUGAGUAACACGUGAGUAACCUGCCCUUGACUCUGGGAUAAGCCUGGGAAACCGGGUCUAAUACUGGAUACGACCUUCCCGCGCAUGCGGUGUUGGUGGAAAGCUUUUGCGGUUUUGGAUGGACUCGCGGCCUAUCAGCUUGUUGGUGGGGUAAUGGCCUACCAAGGCGACGACGGGUAGCCGGCCUGAGAGGGUGACCGGCCACACUGGGACUGAGACACGGCCCAGACUCCUACGGGAGGCAGCAGUGGGGAAUAUUGCACAAUGGGCGCAAGCCUGAUGCAGCGACGCCGCGUGAGGGAUGAAGGCCUUCGGGUUGUAAACCUCUUUCAGUAGGGAAGAAGCCG
Molecule: ribosomal RNA, 392 nt
Filed under: Arthrobacter pityocampae
Lineage: Bacteria; Bacillati; Actinomycetota; Actinomycetes; Micrococcales; Micrococcaceae
Description: bacterial SSU rRNA
Rfam family: Bacterial small subunit ribosomal RNA
Source: RNAcentral